UUUUUGGUCUUAUCUACAGCCCAGCUCAGCCCCAAUUGCUACGUGUUGAGAAAUCUCAUCUCCUCUCAUCUUCUUUUUGUUUCUUUCUCUCUCUCUCUAAACUCUAAGGUUGGCCGGUUGAUGGUUGAAGAAAGAAGGAUUUUGGAGCAGGGAAAAGCUUGGUAGAGCUGAAUUUCAAGGGCUGUGAAGGAGAAAUUAAAGUAUAGAAUUGGUGUGGAGCUGAGAAGAAAAAGUUGCUGCCUUGAGCGAAUUUCUUUGGUGCUCUGAGCUGAAAAGAAGACCUUGGAAUAGAAUUUUGGAUUGUUGGAGCUGAAGGCAACUUGGUGGAAUAUUGAAUUAAGGAGUAGCAGACUGAUUGUUUCGGGCUUGUAGGAGCUGCAGGGAAGGUUUACGAAGCUGAGAAACCAUUGAGGAAGCUUCGAAUUAGGAAGCUGAGUGGAGCUUGGAACUUAGCAAGCUAUGAAAGGCAAGAUGAAGUGCUGAAAUCUCAACAAGAACUCAGCGUGAUGUAGAAUACAUUGUGAGCUGAAAUCAAACCAAUUGGGCAAUGAAGUAGGGCUGCAGCUGAGGGAAGUUGCUGUCCUGGUGAGGUAAGCAAUCAAGUUGGUGGCUGCCUGGACUGAAACUUAGUGAAUUGGAGAGCAGUUUGGUACAACUAGUGAGGUCGACGACGCGCUAAUUACGGUAGAGGCCGUUCUAGUUCUAUUUGCACCCAGUCGCGAGAGCUAGUUGUCAACGUGUUUCGAGAUGUGAGAUCUUAGUUGUUGACACCACUACAGGUUCCAGCGCGAGCGGUGUGGCCGAGGAUCGCGGCAAGAGCCCAGCAGCUUAGCUAGUGGACACCCGAGUGCUAGUGGCAUACCAUUUUGAGUUCAUGUGAGAUGUUUUGAUGUAUAGAGACAUGUAAAUGAAUGUAUUAGAGAGCAUGUAUAUAACUAAAUCUUUCAGUUAUUCAGUUCAAUUUAAAAAGUUUUAAAUGACA
Long non-coding RNA from Ananas comosus (pineapple), 982 nucleotides. RefSeq lists it as uncharacterized. NCBI's taxonomy places the organism in Eukaryota, Viridiplantae, Streptophyta, Magnoliopsida, Poales, Bromeliaceae. The transcript is spliced from 6 exons. The record is from RefSeq and is a predicted model, not a curated record.